This 687-nucleotide ribosomal RNA is filed under the name uncultured bacterium. RNAcentral's name for it is "bacterial SSU rRNA". It matches the Rfam family "Bacterial small subunit ribosomal RNA", at positions 28 to 710 of the family's 1533-position model. The record is from RNAcentral.
AUUGAACGCUGGCGGCAUGCUUUACACAUGCAAGUCGAACGGUAACAGGGAGCUUGCUCCGCUGACGAGUGGCGAACGGGUGAGUAAUGCAUCGGAACGUACCCAGUCGUGGGGGAUAACGUAGCGAAAGUUACGCUAAUACCGCAUACGUCCUGAGGGAGAAAGCGGGGGACCGAAAGGCCUCGCGCGAUUGGAGCGGCCGAUGUCGGAUUAGCUAGUUGGUAGGGUAAAGGCCUACCAAGGCGACGAUCCGUAGCGGGUCUGAGAGGAUGAUCCGCCACACUGGGACUGAGACACGGCCCAGACUCCUACGGGAGGCAGCAGUGGGGAAUUUUGGACAAUGGGCGAAAGCCUGAUCCAGCCAUGCCGCGUGAGUGAAGAAGGCCUUCGGGUUGUAAAGCUCUUUCAGCCGGAAAGAAAUCGCACAGGCUAAUACUUUGUGUGGAUGACGGUACCGGAAGAAGAAGCACCGGCUGACUACGUGCCAGCAGCCGCGGUAAUACGUAGGGUGCGAGCGUUAAUCGGAAUUACUGGGCGUAAAGCGUGCGCAGGCGGUUAUGUAAGACAGAUGUGAAAUCCCCGGGCUCAACCUGGGAACUGCGUUUGUGACUGCAUAACUAGAGUACGGCAGAGGGAGGUGGAAUUCCGCGUGUAGCAGUGAAAUGCGUAGAUAUGCGGAGGAACACC